RNAcentral lists this ribosomal RNA (372 nucleotides) under uncultured organism. RNAcentral's name for it is "bacterial SSU rRNA". It matches the Rfam family "Bacterial small subunit ribosomal RNA", at positions 526 to 896 of the family's 1533-position model. The record is from RNAcentral.
CGUAGGGGGCAAGCGUUGUCCGGAUUUAUUGGGCGUAAAGAGCGUGUAGGCGGUCAGGUAGGUCGGUUGUGAAAACUGGAGGCUCAACCUUCAGAGGUCGACCGAAACCCCCUGGCUAGAGUCCGGGAGAGGAGAGUGGAAUUCCUGGUGUAGCGGUGAAAUGCGCAGAUAUCAGGAAGAACACCCGUGGCGAAAGCGGCUCUCUGGAACGGUACUGACGCUGAGACGCGAAAGCGUGGGGAGCGAACAGGAUUAGAUACCCUGGUAGUCCACGCCGUAAACGAUGGGCGCUAGGUGUGGGAGGUGUCGACUCCUUCCGUGCCGAAGCUAACGCAUUAAGCGCCCCGCCUGGGGAGUACGGCCGCAAGGCUA